This 460-nucleotide ribosomal RNA is filed under the name uncultured bacterium. RNAcentral's name for it is "partial 16S ribosomal RNA". It matches the Rfam family "Bacterial small subunit ribosomal RNA", at positions 338 to 795 of the family's 1533-position model. The record is from RNAcentral.
CCUACGGGAGGCAGCAGUGAGGAAUAUUGGUCAAUGGCCGUAAGGCUGAACCAGCCAAGUCGCGUGUAGGAAGAAGGAUCUAUGGUUUGUAAACUUCUUUUAUCGGGGAAUAAAAUGUUCCAAGUGUGGGCUUUUGUAUGUACCAUAUGAAUAAGGAUCGGCUAACUCCGUGCCAGCAGCCGCGGUAAUACGGAGGGUCCGAGCGUUAUCCGGUUUUAUUGGGCUUAAAGGAAGCGUAGGUGGUUUGUUAAGUCAGUUGUGAAAGUUUGCGGCUCAACCGUAAAAUUGCAGUUGAGACUGGCAGUCUUGAGUACAGUAGAGGGGGGCGGAAUGCGUGGUGUAGCGGUGAAAUGCUUAGAUAUCACGAAGAACUCCGAUUGCGAAGGCAGCUCACUGGACUGCAACUGACACUGAGGCUCGAAAGUGUGGGUAUCAAACAGGAUUAGAUACCCUUGUAGUC